AGUGGACGCUGGCGGUAGGCCUAACACAUGCAAGUCGAACGGCAGCACAGUAAGAGCUUGCUCUUACGGGUGGCGAGUGGCGGACGGGUGAGGAAUACAUCGGAAUCUACUUUUUCGUGGGGGAUAACGUAGGGAAACUUACGCUAAUACCGCAUACGACCUACGGGUGAAAGCAGGGGAUCUUCGGACCUUGCGCGAUUGAAUGAGCCGAUGUCGGAUUAGCUAGUUGGCGGGGUAAAGGCCCACCAAGGCGACGAUCCGUAGCUGGUCUGAGAGGAUGAUCAGCCACACUGGACCUGAGACACGGUCCAGACUCCUACGGGAGGCAGCAGUGGGGAAUAUUGGACAAUGGGCGCAAGCCUGAUCCAGCUAUGCCGCGUGGGUGAAGAAGGCCUUCGGGUUGUAAAGCCCUUUUGUUGGGAAAGAAAAGCAGCAGGUUAAUACCCCGCUGUUCUGACGGUACCAAAGAAUAAGCACCGGCUAACUUCGUG
RNAcentral lists this ribosomal RNA (491 nucleotides) under uncultured bacterium. RNAcentral describes it as "partial 16S ribosomal RNA". It matches the Rfam family "Bacterial small subunit ribosomal RNA", at positions 29 to 507 of the family's 1533-position model. The record is from RNAcentral.